This is a long non-coding RNA of Xiphophorus hellerii (green swordtail), 7022 nucleotides long. RefSeq lists it as uncharacterized. The record is from RefSeq and is a predicted model, not a curated record. The transcript has 7 exons. NCBI's taxonomy places the organism in Eukaryota, Metazoa, Chordata, Actinopteri, Cyprinodontiformes, Poeciliidae.
UGGGGGGGGGGGGUGGGAGGGGAAGAUGAGAUUUUAAAAAAAUUUAUUCCGACCUGCAGAAGUUUGAAAGUGAAAGAAAAUGUGUCAGGUCAUGUUGGUGUUCAGUGCGCGCCUCGUAAAUGCUUGGCUGACUUAAAAAGAGAGAGAGAGAGAGAAAAAAAAAGAAAGAGAAAAAAAAAGAGCAAAGACAUGCAAAAGUUGCGCCUGGCCGCCAGUGACUCGGGUAAAUGAUCUCAUUCGUUUCGCCGUGCAUCAUAGCAGCAAGAACUGGAAGGAGGACAAUGAAACGAGGAACUGCUGACUUGCGUUUCCAGUGUUCACUGGCGACUUUCUGAUGAAGAGGAGGAUGAAGGGAGACAAACUGGGCAGAGACACGACGAGGAGGCAGAUUCACCUCAGCUCUUGAAGGCAUGUUUCCACUGCCUUCGCCCAUCAUGACGAGCGCCGGGGAAACCACCUGCUCUCAGCUUUUCUGGUAACAUCAGCUCACUCAGCUGUACAAAGCAGCACUGGACCAGUUACGGCACGCAAAAAAAUGAUGAGGUCCUUUCCCCUCCAGUCACUGCAGAUUCCACCUCCGGCAGUGAAGAGGAAGGUGGGAAAAGGAGCGCUGGUGUACUUGCAGACGCCACUGAGCAACACUCACAGCUGCUCUCAAACAGCGCCUGGUAGGAGGAGAGGAAGGAGAGAGAGAGAGGACAAACGAUGGCAAGAAUCAUCCGUCUGUCUCUGGAGACUGAGGCAUAAUCAGCGUACAGGAGAUUCAUCUUUUUCUCCAGCGAAACAUGUUACUUUUGGAUUAUCUGUGUCUUUUAAUAGGCUAGGAAUGUCAAUUUUGUGAUUACUGUAAUUUUUUACUUGUUUGUUUGUUGUUGAAGGAGUAAAAACAGACCGCCAGCUCCGGCUUACCUCAACUUGUCGUCUACGACACUUCAUUGUAGUCAGUAAAGACAAUACCUACUUAAAGUGUAAUAAUAAUUUAAAAAAACAUACUACAUUUUAUGAGAUCACAAUCUAGGGAAAUGUAAACCCAAAGUUCAGAGGAGGUCACAUUUUGAUGCGGUUUUAAUUUUGUCGCAUUUCCACUUUCAUUUCACAAUUAUGUGUAGUGACCAUAUUGUGAUGUCCAACACAGUCCUAAAACGCUUCAAUCAAACACUUUUGAUCCUUUGAAUGCUUCAUCACGGUCUGUCCACAUUUAACCAUCUACUCCACGUCACACUCCUCCCUGGAUCUAAACCUCUGCAAACCAGUGAUCGGUUUCCGACUCACACCUCAACAUAUCCUUUCAUUUGUUCAGUUUUCCUCACAGUGUACCACUCUCCCGUGCUAAGGGAAAGCCCAGGAGCAGACAGUCACACCACUUCCUGUGUCAUAAUAAACCCGUUAGCUUCGACCACUGUCUGCUGAGAGUUUACUCAAAUGCGGGUCAGAAGUUUGCCUCAAGAUUUGACGCUCUGAGUAAAUGCGGCCCAAAGCCUUGCAGCAGAAGUGACACGUUCGACAUCUUGAAAAAUACAGUACACGUUAUCUAAGUGAUUCAUUUGGGUGGUGUUGCAUUUAUGGGGAGAAUGAGUUUGAGUCAGAGUUCUUUUGGUGUUGUCACUGAACUAUCGGACAGUUUAGUCAACCACUUCUUUAGACCCGCAGAGGGCACUUAGUGAUGAAAAUUGAUGAGUCACUAAAUCGCAGCGAACCUUUUUUCGCUAAUAGCAUAAGUUGAGUUGUUUGACUCGUAACCCAGACAACAGAAGCUCUAGCUUUUCCAGAGAACUGUUAAGUUCCCUCAUUUGAAACUCAUUAUGUAGCCAAAUGUAUUGGGUCAUCAUCACACUGAGCCAUUGAAUUCAGGUCUUCCAGUCACUUCUUCUUCACUUCUAUGGACACAGGUGUUUGAUAUGGCGCAGCUCAGCGUGAAGCUCCUGCAAACAUUUACGAUGAAAUGGUUUGAAUUCCAGUGUGGUGCUUUCUGGGAAGCCACCUGUGCAAAAACAAGUGAGAUCGUAAAAUUUCCUCACUGCUAAAUUCCAAAGUCUGCUCCUCGUGGUAUUGUGACAAAGUGGAAUGGAGUUUUGCAAAGUCAAUAACUGCAGACCUCCAGGCUUUAUGUGGCGAUGUCAUUAUAUAAAUCGCCAGAUGCUGUGGUGUGAAGCAUCCUGCCACCGGACUCUAGAGCAGCGGAGUCAUGUUUCCUGCAGUGGUGAAUCAUGUUCCUCUGUCUAAGGAAGAACAGACUUACUUGACUGAACUGUGUCGCGCAUAAAGUUUGGUUCAGGGGUAAUGACGGUAUGAUAAUUUGGUGCUUGUAACUUUGUGGGAACAGUCUAGAGAUGACCCGCUCUUCAACAGGACGGCUGAAGUGCACAAAGCAACGUCAAAGACUUGGACUAGCAAGAUCAGUGCGGAGAAACUUGACUCCGCACUGAGUCAAGUUCAGAGAUCUCAACUCUUUGAACGUUUUUGGUGUGAAUUUGAACGGAGACUGUAAAUUAGGACACCUUGUCACACUCCUAAGCCUCAGAGAGUUGGAGCUGUGACACAAGUAUGCCUCCAUUUGACCCAUCGCCUAGUGGAGAAGUGGUGCAAGUUGCUAGCGCAAAGUGUCUGUCUUUGGUAAAUACUUGUUUAAAUGGCAAACAACAGAAAUUGUGAGAGUGAAGGCCAGAAAACGGGAGCGGGGGAAAAAACACAACAAAACAAAAAGGAACAAGACAGUAAACUGGAAGGUUGCGUUUAAAAUGAUUUAGGAGAGAUGCAGAGGAGCCAUUUUGCUUCUCUUCCACUCAAUGUCAUGGAGGGACUGAGACCAAAAUCAUUAACCCUGCUAACCAGAGCAUAUCGACCUUACCAGAGCAUGAGCCUGUGCCCAAAUGCUGGUCCAUGAGGUAAAAGUGGUCAUGGAGCCAUAAACAAUUUUGACUGCCUCAACCGUGUCUGUCAAGGAGUCAUGGAGUACAGACUCUGCAUGAUUGGUGGGCUGAGAGAAAAAUGAAGUGCUGCCAAAACAAAGAUGCUAAUUUUAAAGCCUCUGAACCAGCACACAAACAACAGAAACAGGUCUUCUCUAGAUUUCCCCUCAGUUGCAUCCUGGUAAACAUUGGGUACAUCCCAAGAUAGUGUCUGCUUACUCUACGUCUUUUGGAGCAGAGUUUUCCAUUCCAUGUUGCAUUUUCAGUGAUGUUAAAAGCUUGUGAUGUGGCGAAACAGGCUUCAGUACAAAGGCUUCAUGGCCCAGCAGUAUUAACCUAUUUUGCACAGGGAAUAGAGGGAUGAAUACACAGAUACAGUUUGAAUCAGAGUGUGUAUUGUGGGCUAAAGCUUUGAGAAGAAUUGUUGCUGUUUGUCAGGACAUUUUGUAGGCCGACGAUUUCCUUCCUACGCAACUCUGCUCGAUUCCAAUCUCCCUUCACUGCUCCGCCUGGACUUUCUUCCAUUCAAAUGGAUUUCUCCUGUAGAAUCUCACCUGGCCAAUCAGCGAAAAGAAGAAGUUGUGAACAAAGAUUUAGAUUUUUUUUUUUUUUGCAUUGUUUUAGACUGUCUGUAGUUUUAGCAAUGGCAGCAGAGAAAGUGAACGAAGCCAGUAAGUCCGUGUUGGCCAAGCUUCCAGAUAUCAAAUCAAUAUUAACAGCCAUCUUGAUUGACUCGUAAAAACUGGUAAAAACCAGCACUUUGCUCCACACUUCAUACAGAGGGUUUGGACCCUCAGUUGUUAGGAAAUGACUGCUUCCUGGAGACAUGGUCUCCGUUGUUGAUUUGAAUAUGACCCAAUCGCUAACGUUUGACCGUGACAUAUGUAAUAUGCCGGUUUGAUGCUACAAAGCUAACUGGAAAUUGUGUGCGCUUGUAACCUUUCUACACUAAUGGCAAUACAAAGUAAAAAAAAGAAAAAAGUAUCGACUUAAUUAUAAAACUAAUAAAUUAAAUGGAUAAAAUGAUGCAACAGAUUCAACUUAAAUACAAUAAUUGUGACUCAACAUGUUCGUCUUGGAGUAGCUUUACAAAUGCUGCUGCUGGAACAAAACGCAGCGUUUAAAAACAGGGUUUCUUAAUGGGGAAGAGAGAAUUGAAGAGAGAAUUGCCAAGCAGAACAAGAUGACUGUUAAUGGCUGUCAUUGUUCAUAACUCCUCUUUCUGUUCGCUGAAAUUUUACCGGAGAAAUCCAUAUCAAUGGGAGAAAACCCAGACGGAGUACUGAAGAGGGAUUAAAAUAGAGCAAAAUUGCGUAGGAAGGAAAUGGCACUACAUAACUAUCAUUAUUCAUAUUCAUAUUAUUAUGGAUAGAGCUCCUAAAAUGGCUCUAGCCAUGCGCUCCUCUACGUUCUUCUGCUGCCUGCUAGCCUUCAGGUCAGAUCCAAUAACAUCUCAGUUGCAUUGAACUGAGACUGUAGGCAGUAAUCAGAUAACAUUCACCACAGAAGAGGUGGUGAGUUUAUCAUGGAGACGGUCACCUGUGUCUCUCACCAGAAUGCUUUCCUGGUCCCCCCCAGUCAGAGCAAACAUUGUAAUGGUCUCUCUGUUCGUUUAACCAGGGAAUCUCAAAGGCGAAUGUAGUUGAUGUUCGCUCUCGGUGCUCUGCAUGUCUGAAUGCAGCUCAACAGGGUCAGCGCCGUGGGGAUUACCGAAUUUCUUUUAAGGACUCUAUUAAAAUAUUUCCUUGAGCCCUUCUCUGAAAGUUGUAAUCUAAUCCAUUCGUCUUUUCAGCUAUCUAAGCAUUAUCGAAGCGUUUAUGAUAAAGAGACUGUUUCUUGGGCAGUCGCAGAUACAAAUCAGAAGGAUGAAGCAUGUUUACUUUAAUGUGUGUGAUAUAGAUUCCACUUUCAAGCAGAACGUGAGCCACACACCCCACUACCAGCUUCUGUGUAUCUGCAUGUAUGCACAAUGGCUGAUAGCAGGUGUGUGUGUGGGGGGGGGGGGGGCGCGUGUGGGUGUGUGUGUGUGUGUGUGUGUGUGUGGACAUUAACUUCCAAAAAUGGUUGAAGCUGCCAAGAACCGAGUUGUUUUCAGAGUCAUGUUACUGCUUUUACUGUUUUCUCAGAAAUAUUUACACAAGCAGCAACGUUGCCUCAGUUUGUGGCAUACCAUACCAAAGUCAUAUCAUAAGUCAUGAAUUGAAUUUGUUGUGAAAUUAGAACAAUUCACAGCGGUAAAAAAAAAAAAAAAAAAGAUCACUUCCUCAUUUAGGCUCCAUUUCUGGGAAAUCAAGGCAUCUCUCAAGGUACAGUCAGGCAUCAGAUGUUUUUGUCACUUUAGUGCCAGUAAUCGUGCCUCUUUUUUCCUGUGAUUCUUUUCAAAGCUUUUCUGGUUUUAUUUCUGGUGAUUUUGAGAAAUAACUUCACAUGCCACAGUGUGAACAGCUCAGUCGAGCUGCUUAAACUAGUGGCUUUUUCCAGCUCACACAGCUACGAUGUGGCUUGUGCCUACGGUGGCCCUGGAGUGCAAAAUGCAAAUUUAAAACCGGAAACAAAAACAUUUCAGGACAGUCAUUUCUGAAAACCCAAAAGCGAAACAGGAAACCAAGUCUUAGAGCACAUGAUUCUUAGCAAUACAGCUUUUUGGGAAAAAGGAAAUAAAAAAAAACAAAAAACUUUUGCAGUUACAAAACAGAAACAGCUGAAACAGAUUAGCAAUCAUGAAACUAAAUGGAAAAGAAUCAAAUCAAAACACGACUGAUUUGGUUAACAUCACGUCCAGAUAUACUGUAUUUACUUAAUGAGUUUUUCAGAAACAACCGAGAAACAUGACAGGACUACACUGUCACGUGUUUCUCAAUUGUUUGUGCCCCAAAGCCACAAAAGACAUCUAAAUACCCAUUAAUGAUAAUUAUAUGUGCACCAUUAAAUUCUCACCAGUAAGUACAUAUGGUGAAUAUACAGUAAGUAGUUUUUUGUAACUUGGUUAAUUCUCACUCACUCCAGACGUUUGUGCUGGAUAGCAAUUGUGUAUAUUUUGAACUUUUAAAAUACGCGAUGUAGUUUCACGUGAGCACAUGUUACAAAAAGAAACAAUUUAAAAAAAUUAAAAUGUUUUCAUUUCAAAGUGCAUUUUUUUAGGCACAAUGGUUUUGUUUUUUUUGCACAGUUUACUUACAUAAAAUUGUGAAUAAAUUCUAAAUAUAUAUAUAAAAACAACAUUUACUUUAACAGAAGAAUGUAAUGGUCUGGUAAUGUGUUAACUUAAAUAAAUAAACCUUUAAUGUUUCUUACUAAAGAUAGCUGACUGUGCAUUUAUGGUCAUAGUUUUUAAUUUUAACUCACAAUUUUGCUCCUGUUAUUAUUUUAAAGUCAGAGUAGUUUUGAAUUGGUAGUGAAUUGGUAUGCUAUCUGUAGCGUGGUUAUCCCUAUUUUUGCUCUGACUCAUUGAUGAUCAGACUCAUAGCAUAGUGAUCUCAUCUAAGGGAACUCAUCUAUUGAUCACAUGCAAGCAAACUGUACACCAUAGAUUGUUCUGCUGCUUCACAAACUUACAGCUACAUAUGUUGUAAACGCUGGGAAACGUAAUGACUAAUGUUUAAGCUGCGCAAAUCAUAGCGCCCCUUGCUUCACCAGAGGGAGCAGAGGAGGCCGCGUGAUAGACAGAAGGCCUCUGCCAUCUUCGUUUCAUUUCCAUCUGUACUGUAGUGUAAAAUCCAGAUGUUGUAAUAACUAAAAACAAAAUGACAUGGGUGAACUAUUGAAGUUUUGUGAGCAGCAAAAACUUAGAAAACAGUCAGUUUUGUUUGAAAGGAACCACCCGAAAAGCGGCUGCGUGUCUCUAGGGUCACGGCUGAUGUGCUGUCAGACAGCUGACCGUCACUAGGUCAUGUGUCUAUACCAACACCAGCCCUUCAUAAAGUUUACAUUGGUUUUAACAGAAAAUGUGACAACAAAUUUUUAAUACUAAGUAUGCAAUACAAUUGGUUAUUUUUUUAGCCAUUUAUUGCACAUGUAUUCAGUUCAAUAUCAUUAAUUACAGAGAUAGAGUCCAAAAAAAAAAAAAACAAUCAGGUUUUGUAUGUCUUCUCAAGCUUUCACCUACAUUGAAGG